Molecule: ribosomal RNA, 467 nt
Filed under: Pseudomonas aeruginosa
Lineage: Bacteria; Pseudomonadati; Pseudomonadota; Gammaproteobacteria; Pseudomonadales; Pseudomonadaceae
Description: bacterial SSU rRNA
Rfam family: Bacterial small subunit ribosomal RNA
Source: RNAcentral
ACCUCACGCUAUCAGAUGAGCCUAGGUCGGAUUAGCUAGUUGGUGGGGUAAAGGCCUACCAAGGCGACGAUCCGUAACUGGUCUGAGAGGAUGAUCAGUCACACUGGAACUGAGACACGGUCCAGACUCCUACGGGAGGCAGCAGUGGGGAAUAUUGGACAAUGGGCGAAAGCCUGAUCCAGCCAUGCCGCGUGUGUGAAGAAGGUCUUCGGAUUGUAAAGCACUUUAAGUUGGGAGGAAGGGCAGUAAGUUAAUACCUUGCUGUUUUGACGUUACCAACAGAAUAAGCACCGGCUAACUUCGUGCCAGCAGCCGCGGUAAUACGAAGGGUGCAAGCGUUAAUCGGAAUUACUGGGCGUAAAGCGCGCGUAGGUGGUUCAGCAAGUUGGAUGUGAAAUCCCCGGGCUCAACCUGGGAACUGCAUCCAAAACUACUGAGCUAGAGUACGGUAGAGGGUGGUGGAAUUU